RNAcentral lists this ribosomal RNA (840 nucleotides) under Hamatopeduncularia isosimplex. RNAcentral's name for it is "partial large subunit ribosomal RNA". It matches the Rfam family "Eukaryotic large subunit ribosomal RNA", at positions 38 to 679 of the family's 3401-position model. Lineage: Eukaryota; Metazoa; Platyhelminthes; Monogenea; Dactylogyridea; Ancylodiscoididae. The record is from RNAcentral.
GCAGAUCAGUCACACUGCACUACAAAGGAUCUCUAGUACUGCGAGUGAGCGGAGAUUAGCUCAAUUCAAAUCUGGCCGCUUUUGUGGACCCGAUUUUGUGUCUGUGAAAAUUUUUUUCCGCCUGUGCUAGUCUACUCGUCUUCCAACUCCGAUUACCGCUUUGGAUAAUUUCCUUAUAGGGGGAAAGACCCAUUCGUGUUUACCCACCAUUUCUUAAAAUGUCUUUUUUAUUGAUACUUCAGAUUCGGAUUGGUUGAAAAUGCCAUCCAAAGACAAGGUGGUGAACUCCAUCCAAGGCUAAAUACUGGCCCGGGUCCAAUAAUAAACAACUACCUUGAGGGAAAGUUGAAAAGUACUCUGAUUGAGAGUAAAUAAUACGUGAAGCUGCCUGCUGCAAGCUGGUGGAGUCUUCUUCUUAGAGGAGAAUUGGCUACGGAGAUUUCCUUAUGUUAUUGAACCACGGGGUGUUCAGCUUGAAAAUGACUGGAUACUUCGCGAGCGCAAGAGUUCCGGGUUGUGCACUUGUUUCGUUCUUAUGGAUCGGUCACUCUCUUGACUGUUUCUCACCCUUAAAUCACUUCAAUGCACAUAUAUUCAAUGAUAAUUAACUGUGUGCUCGUGGACUAAGGUUCACUGGCCAUAGAAUGGCAGGUGCAGAUAUGAAGACCUCGUGUUUUCAUGUUUAUUAUAUUGGUGUUAAGCCUUGCUGAUUAUCAUAGUUUCAUAAAAUUAAUAAUGUAUAUUGUUCUUAUAUCAUGUAACGUAGGUUGUAUUGAUGAGAGCUGUGGUGCCGAGUAGACGUUCCCCCGACCCGUCUGAACACCGACCAAGGGGUAAUUU